Molecule: ribosomal RNA, 367 nt
Filed under: uncultured bacterium
Lineage: Bacteria
Description: bacterial SSU rRNA
Rfam family: Bacterial small subunit ribosomal RNA
Source: RNAcentral
GACGAACGCUGGCGGCGUGCUUAACACAUGCAAGUCGAGCGGUAAGGCCCUUUCGGGGGGUACACGAGCGGCGAACGGGUGAGUAACACGUGGGUGACCUGCCCUCAGCUCUGGGGAUAAGCCUGGGAAACCGGGUCUAAUACUGGAUAUGACUCCAUGACGCAUGUUGUGGGGUGGAAAGCCUUGUGCGGCUGAGGAUGGGCCCGCGGCCUAUCAGCUUGUUGGUGGGGGAUGGCCUACCAAGGCGACGACGGGUAGCCGGCCUGAGAGGGCGACCGGCCACACUGGGACUGAGACACGGCCCAGACUCCUACGGGAGGCAGCAGUGGGGAAUCUUGCGCAAUGGGCGAAAGCCUGACGCAGCGAC